AGAUUUAAGUCUUCCCAGGCCCACCACUUUCAUCGAUGAGCUUCGUCUUCUGGUUACGGGGCCAUAGCUCAGCUGGGAGAGCGCGUGCUUUGCAAGCAUGAGGUCGUCGGUUCGAUCCCGUCUGGCUCCACCANAUGGUUUGAUCACCAACGGCGUAACCGUCGUCCGCGAAACAUCACUUCGCACUCAUUGGUCCGGAUGGACGGUGACGUGCGUGUUUUCUGACAUCGUAAAGAGGAGAUCGAUCCGAGUUUGGAUCAAGCGAAGCAAUUCGCCUGAACCAUUCACUAUCUCCGGGAUCAUUUCGGCGCUCGCUUCAUCGUGAGAUUGAAUGCGGGUUGUAAAUGAUCUCUGUUAGCGAAGCUUGACCGCCUCGCUAUCGGGCCGAUCUUACGAAGCAAGCUGGUCUUUCUAGUCAAUGUCCGGCUGCGCAAUCGCAUUCAUCGANGAUGCGCGCCUGAGACUUCGGUCUUUGGGCAGUUGUGCAGACAACAUUCUGCCGAGUGUGNGGACAUUGAUAAUGAUAGCAAUCAAGUGCCUUAAGGGUGUUCGGUGGAUGCCUU
RNAcentral lists this transfer RNA (563 nucleotides) under Bradyrhizobium sp. LCM 3721. RNAcentral describes it as "partial 16S-23S ribosomal RNA intergenic spacer". The stretch from base 58 to 130 matches the Rfam family "tRNA". The record is from RNAcentral. Lineage: Bacteria; Pseudomonadati; Pseudomonadota; Alphaproteobacteria; Hyphomicrobiales; Nitrobacteraceae.